UUUAUAGAGCAGGGCUGACAAGGUGCCCCUGCUAAGAGCCUUCCCCUGGGAAACAGCCGCCUCCGUGCAUGCUUGCCGAAGCUCAUCAGCGGGGCGUGCGGCUGCCCUGGCUCUCCUGGCGCCACUGCCCAUCCCUGCCCGUGCGUGCAAGGGGCAGAACACCAGCCCCCGGCACAGCCUGCCCCACGCUCGUCCCAGCCUUUGCACCCGUAACGACUGGACCCAGUUCAAAACAUUUGGCAGAGGCUUGGGCAAGGCAGGUGCCACCAGGCUUUUGGACUUUCGGUGGUGAAACGUUGCUCAAUGGGUCUGACCCGUCGGCACUGUACAAAGCUGGGCAAGAAUCAUCCCUGUCUCGUGGCAGGGGAAGAAGUCACCCAACAGAUGAUGCUCUCACUGGACUUUAUCAGCUUUCUCUGAUCAAUCCAUCUCCUCCCCUGCUGAGAAUCGGAGUUCAUUAGCCUGAUUGCACCAGCCAGGACGUUGAAAAGCAGGAUGGGACACAUCAAAGAUCACAGAAGGUGCCCUCCUUCUGCAAGAGCAUCUCUGGAUUCCCCUCACCUCAUCCAAAGCUGAUCUCCACCCCAGCUGCAACAGUGCCCGAGUCACCACACCAGUGAGAGCAGCCUCUGAGCCCCAGCCCCAUGCUCCCAGUGUGGCUUGGCCUCCCCCACUGAAGUCUGCACACACUGCUGCAAGGGAUCCUGGCAGCCCCUCCUCCCAGAAGUGGCACCCGAGGGGCACCCCCACGGAGGGGACCGGAGGGCUCUUGUCUCCGGCAUGGAGCAGCACCUGUGCCCAUGCCCAUCUGCAAAGCAGCCCUGAUGGCGGGUGGGAAAGGGUCUGAGUCAUGAACCCACCGAGUCGAAGGUGAAAUGAGGGAGAAGAGUCACGCAGCAUCCUCGAAGCCCAGAAAAAAUUCCACACAAUGGUCUUGUUUGGGUACCUCAUCUGCAAAAGGCUUUGCAGAAUAAUGUGAACCCCAUGCACAUGAUCCUCCGACUGGCCAACUCUGAUGGUGCUUAAAAUGUGCAUGCAGAGAGAAGGAUGCAGGCAGAUGCAGGAGGCAUGACGGAGAGAAAUUAAGACUGAGACUAGCUGUAACAGAACAGACACCUCGCAUCGGAUCAAUGUCUGCUUUAAUGCAGAAUAUUUCUGCCUCACAAAUGUCUCAUCGUUUCAGGCGGGCACCAGGUUUUGAUGGCAGGAUUGUUCAGUAAGGUUCAUGUGAAGCAGCUGGACACAGGCACCGUUCCUGGGCUACAUUUGUGUAGAGCUCUGUAAAAUGCUUUAACAUUCUAGAAUAAAAGGCCCCAUUUUCCUCAAAAUGAGGGAUUCAUGGUGAUAUUAACACUCCCUUAUCACUGUUGUCGCUGCAGAAGCACAUACACCUCAUCAUCUGCAGCUUGCCAGGGAGAGAACAAACCGUCUUCCCACACUUCAUUUCAGAAAAGUGCCUGCUAACAUUAUCUACACAUGCAUUAAACAGGUGGAGAGAGAUGCCAACGUACAGAUAUGGCAUUAAGCUCAGCCAGAGAGAGGCGGGUGCUGUGCUCAGUUACAAGUGGGCGUGCGAAAGCUGAGAAAUAUACCUAAAUAAUACUCCACUGUCACUGGUUUUCUACCCAUCCCAUUUCUGGUUUCUCUCAGUGACCAUGGGAAAAAGCUUCAGGCCACCCAACAUGCAAAUGCAGCACACAAGGGCAGCUAGAGGAAUCAUGUCCAAGCUGGAUGAUUUUCUGAAAGUAGGUACGAACCAAGCUUCUGUUUUUUUCCAAGCUGCUUGGAAAAAACAUGAUCUGGCUCAGGCCCUUAUUCUGCAACUCAACUCAA
Molecule: long non-coding RNA, 1833 nt
Organism: Tyto alba (common barn owl)
Lineage: Eukaryota; Metazoa; Chordata; Aves; Strigiformes; Tytonidae
Exons: 3
Source: RefSeq, a predicted model, not a curated record